RNAcentral lists this small RNA (503 nucleotides) under Cladosporium cladosporioides. Its description in RNAcentral is "eukaryotic LSU rRNA". The stretch from base 186 to 339 matches the Rfam family "5.8S ribosomal RNA". Lineage: Eukaryota; Fungi; Ascomycota; Dothideomycetes; Cladosporiales; Cladosporiaceae. The record is from RNAcentral.
CCGUAGGUGAACCUGCGGAGGGAUCAUUACAAGUGACCCCGGUCUAACCACCGGGAUGUUCAUAACCCUUUGUUGUCCGACUCUGUUGCCUCCGGGGCGACCCUGCCUUCGGGCGGGGGCUCCGGGUGGACACUUCAAACUCUUGCGUAACUUUGCAGUCUGAGUAAACUUAAUUAAUAAAUUAAAACUUUUAACAACGGAUCUCUUGGUUCUGGCAUCGAUGAAGAACGCAGCGAAAUGCGAUAAGUAAUGUGAAUUGCAGAAUUCAGUGAAUCAUCGAAUCUUUGAACGCACAUUGCGCCCCCUGGUAUUCCGGGGGGCAUGCCUGUUCGAGCGUCAUUUCACCACUCAAGCCUCGCUUGGUAUUGGGCAACGCGGUCCGCCGCGUGCCUCAAAUCGACCGGCUGGGUCUUCUGUCCCCUAAGCGUUGUGGAAACUAUUCGCUAAAGGGUGUUCGGGAGGCUACGCCGUAAAACAACCCCAUUUCUAAGGUGACCUCGGAU